GAUGCCUUUGCCACUGGAUUUGGUCCUCCUUUGAACAAUUUGUCAGUUGUUUCCUACUAGCAAGAUGAAUGAAAACAUAGGCAUUCUACUUCUACUCUCUUCGUCUCUCUUUCUGUGUGUUCCUGCCAUCUGUUUUUUCUCUUGACUGAUAAUCCGUAUUUCCCCAGAGCUUGUGGAACAGGUGUUCAACUUGCUUCAAACUAUCUUUACUUAGAAUUUUUUAGAAAAACAUGGAAAUUGAACCUGGGUACAUAGAAUGACAUUUGGUCUCCAGCUGCCUGAAGAACUUUUCUGUUGGCUGCAGCACUCAUCUGGAUAAACUGCUAUGCUGAGGAGACCUGUGGUUGAGACAUUGAUCUUCAUCCAACAUUAUCAGUUGGAUAUUUGCUUCCAAAGGGAAGUAAUUUUUAGCAGGGA
This is a long non-coding RNA of Pantherophis guttatus, 417 nucleotides long. RefSeq lists it as uncharacterized. The record is from RefSeq and is a predicted model, not a curated record. NCBI's taxonomy places the organism in Eukaryota, Metazoa, Chordata, Lepidosauria, Squamata, Colubridae.